UGCUUUGCUUGUUCAAGGUCAGGCC
RNAcentral lists this non-coding RNA (25 nucleotides) under Mus musculus (house mouse). Lineage: Eukaryota; Metazoa; Chordata; Mammalia; Rodentia; Muridae. The record is from RNAcentral.